Molecule: unclassified non-coding RNA, 561 nt
Filed under: Zea mays
Lineage: Eukaryota; Viridiplantae; Streptophyta; Magnoliopsida; Poales; Poaceae
Description: misc RNA Zm00001eb133770
Source: RNAcentral
CAGGUGCGUGACGCCGCCCGCGUACCCUGUGGCGCGGCGCAGCCACGGCACGACGGCGCGGUCGUAGACCACCAGGAUGAGCAUCUGGAACACGAUGGGGACGACGAAGAGGCUCGCCGGCGGCACGUUGGUGGCGCCGAGCCGGGUGUCCAUGGUCCCGCCCUGCUGCACCGUGAACGUCAGGAGCAGCGGGAUCGGGAGGUAGCCCAGGACGGAGCUCACGAAGACGGGAAGCAUCCGGAGGAUGAUCUUGGCCUCCUCCACCUGCGUCACCGUGCACAGCGACCACCGCCGCGCGUCGCCGUCGUUCACGGCCGCCUUGUCGAGGAACCUUUUGAUUCAAGAGCAAUUUUAAUUAGUUACGUUCGAGAGGUUGAGGGGGUUAUUAGUCAAAGCGUGCACCAACGGUUCCUGCUGGACGGAGCGGCCGGCCAGGGUACAAUGUCACAUCUACCUUUUGGACUGUAAUGGGAGCGAAACAAAAGCUGAUUGGCAAACUGCGAAAACGUUGGCGUCUUCGCUGCUGAUCGAGAUGGAUUUGAUAGCGAUAUAUAUUUAUAU